CCCUUAGAUGUUCUGGGCGGCCCGCGCACUACAUUGGCACUGGCAACAAGAUCCUAGAUCUGGUAUUUCGGGGUAUUCUACCAACUGGUGUCGUGACUGGGAUUAACCCCUGCAAUUAUUGGUUAUGAACGAGGAAUUCCUUGUAAUCACGGUUUAUCAACCCGUGUUGAGUGCGUCCCUGCCCUUUGUACACACCGCCCGUCGCUCCUACCGAUGAAUCGUCCGGUGAAGUUCAUGGAGUCGCGGCUGCUCCAGCUGUUUUCGAAGUGAAAUGGACCUCAUGAUUUAGAGGAAGGAGAANUCGUAGCA
RNAcentral lists this ribosomal RNA (309 nucleotides) under uncultured eukaryote. Its description in RNAcentral is "partial 18S ribosomal RNA". It matches the Rfam family "Eukaryotic small subunit ribosomal RNA", at positions 1470 to 1796 of the family's 1831-position model. The record is from RNAcentral.